CAUCAGUCCGCACAUCAUGUUGUUGUCAUUGCAACUUUGCACCCUGAGUCCGGGCCACAUAUCAGAGACACACCGCUGUACACAAGCUGCCCCAGAUCAGACCAGAUCAGAUCAGAGCUUGUGUGCUCAACACUUAUUUGAUCAGCUCGUGUUGACAGAUCAUAGCUAAUGCUCGUAAAGGAAUGUUUGGAUGAGUAAAUCGGAGCUCAGCGGCCCCUGCGACCCCUUCACUGAGUUUGAUCUGAAGGCAAAUGUCGAUGACUCGCCUCACAACUCUGCUUUUCAGGUUAAGGUGUAGAGGAGAGAAAUCCACUCUUCUGCUGGGAUCAGAAUAAUCCAGGGUUUUUUGUUGUUGUAUUUUUGAUCAAAAGUAUCAUAAUCUUACUAAACAUUUUGAACAACACAAAAUGAGGAUUUAAUCCAGAUCAAAACCAAGAUUUGGAUUUUGUGAUCUAAUCUGAAUUCAGAAUCCUUUUUUUUUCUUUUCUUUUUUUUUGAACAACCCAUUUUCAAGAUUUGAUUCAAUCCAAUGGCCAAAAUCAGCUGGGAUUACUCUUGAACAACUGGCCCGUGAUCAUUCUGAUCCAGUUCUUAUUAUUCAACAAUCUGAAUAUGGAGCCUCACUGAGAUCCCCAUAUCUCUGGGACUGACCCAUGUUAGGCCUUGAAAAUGGAGAUUCCAAAAGAAACGUUUAUUAAGAACUAGAACCUAAAAUAAUAUUGCAAUAUAUUGAAUACUUCUGGAGUUAUAGGCACGCAAACUUUGGAAAAAGAACACUUAUGGCACUCAGACAGGAAUGUUCAGUGUAGUUGUUUGGACAGACGGAAACCAGACACAUUUCUAGUUUCAACAUUAUUUAUUCUUCAAAAAUUCCUCUUUAAAAGAAAAGAAGUAUCAUAUUUUUGCAAAAUGACCCACAUUUGGUUUUUGACCAUUGAAAAUGUGUACAAUUUAACAAUUUACUCCUGGAGCAAUUUUGAAAUUAUCUCUGCAACCGAACCAUAUAGGGCCUUAAAAAUUAAGAUGCCAGAAGGAAAGUGUGUUAAGACCCAAUAUCUAAAAGGGCAUUAAUAUAUCUUUAAUACUUUUUGAGUUGCAGGCAUGCAAACUUUGGAGAAAAAACUUGAAAAGUGUUUGAAUUGUCCCCAUUGGCACAUAAUGCAACAAAGAUUGGUAAAGUCAACAGAUUUUACUAACAGACUUUCUAAUCUCUGUGUAAAAAAAAAAACAUUAUGAUGCUGUCAUCUUUCAAAAAGUCAUUUUUACCCCGCUGUAAUUUGGCUCGGAAUUUCAGGUGAAAAUUGCCAUUUUUUAACCCCCUUCUACAACAUAGAGGUUUACUCAGGAAAUAUUCAUCCAUGACAUUUCAUAUUUUGGCUAUAAUCACUAUACAUGUUUGUCUUGCUUCAGAAAAAAAAAUAUUAGCAAAAUCUAAAAUUUGAGCUGGGGACCUCUGGUUGACAGGGAAUGACCCAUGAACAUUCAGCAAAACACUUAAUCAAUGAUGAUCUGAACACUUUGUUUGUUCAUUUGUUUGUUUUGGCAUGGCUGUCAUUAUAAUAAACUAUGUGAAUGUCACCGGGUUUAGAUCAUAGAGCACAGACAGAUUUAUCUGGCAAUGCUUUUAAACCACUUACAC
Cyprinus carpio carpio is the source of this 1639-nucleotide long non-coding RNA. NCBI's taxonomy places the organism in Eukaryota, Metazoa, Chordata, Actinopteri, Cypriniformes, Cyprinidae. The record is from Ensembl.